Molecule: unclassified non-coding RNA, 359 nt
Filed under: Linnemannia exigua
Lineage: Eukaryota; Fungi; Mortierellomycota; Mortierellomycetes; Mortierellales; Mortierellaceae
Description: sequence contains 5.8S rRNA gene
Rfam family: 5.8S ribosomal RNA (bases 1-53)
Source: RNAcentral
GAACGCAUAUUGCGCUCUUUGGUAUUCCGAAGAGCAUGCUUGUUUGAGUAUCAGUAAACACCUCAAAACUCUUGAUCUUUUUCAAGCGUUUUGGACUUGAGCAAACCCAACGCCUUUUCUUUUAAGAUCUGUUGCGGCGGGUUGCUUGAAAUGCAGGUGCAGCUGGACAAUCUCCUGGGCUAAAAGCAUAUUUAUUUAGUCCCGUCAAACGGAUUAUUACUUUUUGCUGCAGCUAACAUAAAGGGAGUUUUGACCAUUAUGGCUGACUGAUGCAGGAUUUCACAGAGAAAAGGCCGGCAACGGUUUUGUCUCCGUCAAACUCGAUCUCAAAUCAAGUAAGACUACCCGCUGAACUUAAG